Molecule: non-coding RNA, 3818 nt
Organism: Phalacrocorax carbo (great cormorant)
Lineage: Eukaryota; Metazoa; Chordata; Aves; Suliformes; Phalacrocoracidae
Source: RefSeq, a predicted model, not a curated record
CUGAGGUGGAUGAAAAAGUAGAUGACGUGUAUGUGAUUUUAAACUUCAGCCUUAGUCGUGACACAGUCCUCGGGCAAACACAGCUCGGGAAUAGAUGGUGUGACACACCAAGUCGGGAUGAAAUCAGUUCUACUGUAACAGCGACAACUUCCUUGAGACUUCAGUAUUGGCUGCGAUAACUAUCUGCUUCUCUAAAAACAUAGGCUUCUAUUCAACUAAGUGAGAUACUCUUCCAGCUGGUAAAGUGUUAAAUAUCCACAGAACUAGCUGGAAAAAUGUUGGUCAACCAAUGUGCUUGCACAGAAUAGUAUCAGUUUCAAAUAAGCUUCCCUAAAAAAGUUGUUUUUUCCUAAAACAACAGUUUGAUUUAAAGAAAAACAAAAUAAAAAUAAAAUGGUUUGGUAUUGUAUAGUCUAUAAUAUUUUUUACAUUUUUAUUCUGUUUUUAAAAUUAUGCCAUAUCAUAAUGUCAUUACAGCCUGCUAUUUUAUCAUGUAAUUUACUGCUUUGUCAUACAGUCCCACACUGGUACAAAACAUCAUUUUGGACAUACUAUAAAAAUUUAACAUUUCUGAGUUUAAAUGAGCUGUAAGUUUGCAUUUUCUGCAUGUGGUCUCCAUAAAAGACAAGAUUACCAUAAGGACGCAUGUGAACAGUUCUGGCUUGCCAUCAAGCAGGAAACAUCCUGCAAAACUGCCACAAUUAUGACUUUAUUUAUUAACUUAUAGCCAUAUCUAUGACAGAUAUCACAGUCACUGAACGUAGAACAGUGCUAUGCAGUUUCUUUUAAUAAAAUAAAAAGCUUUUUUUUUAUCAGUUUUGGAGAUGUGUGUUGAAAAUACAUUAGCAAUGAAACAUUGCAGAGACGUACUCCCAUUCACAAAUGUGGUUAUUUGCAACAAAUAUGCAUGAGUUCCCUUAAAGUCUUCUUUCUUCAAUUUGUUUUUCAAAGGAUAAGCUUUAGCCUCUCCCUUUUAUUGUCCAUUCUUGGAAUUGUAACAACUACCUCUUCAGAAUAACUCAGGCAAAAUGUGUUGUUGCAGGAAGGACUGACGGACAGGCACUACUUCUAAAAUCCCAGCGUACAGGCACUGGAGCUGUGGUUUGAACGUUCUGAAACCUUGCACACAGGAAGAAUUCGAUCACAUUAUCCUUGAAAAUCUAUAAAGCCAAGAAUAAUGAUUAACCAUGGCACUGACCAACUAAGGAGAAGGAGCCCAGAUGGCGUAGCGUUCAAGAAAGAGUGUUCCCGGAGUAGCAGAGCAGCAGCAACAAGCAGAGAGACAGGAGGUAUCUUUGAAUUCGAUCACAACACACAGUCACAAAAAAGGUUUCAGUUUUGCUCUUCAGAUCUUACGAUAGAAUUAUUUUUAUGAGCUGCUGUGAUGCAAGCUAUCUUGUAUCUGGCAAUCCAUUGCAAACAGAUGAGAAACAACUUCUGCAUCUGCUACAGAAAGCCUUACGGCAGCUGUUGCAGUUUGCACUGGUCUGUACAAAUAAUUUUCUUACUUGUUCCAUGAAAUGCAAAAUCUUGUCUUUUGGGUGGAAUGCUACUCCUAAAGUAAUUGUCGCAGUCACGAUUCAUGGAGGACUACGAUUCAACCAACAACAAGUAAGUAUUGCCAUAUCUGGCUGCAUGUCAGACCAUAUUCAUUUAGUUUACUCUCUAUUGUUUGUGUAUUGAGCAAAUAGUCUUUGGACAUUAUGCCUUCCACGGUCAGUAUUUAUCUUUCCAUGCCAAAUAAUUGCACAUGCAAGGAAUGCCUAGCUGCACUUUUUUAGGUAGACUCAGUUUGCUCCACAUAUAUAUUUCAAAUGUAUCAUUUGCCCUGUACUGCUCAAGACUGUAACAAUUCUUAGUCUUCUUAGGCUUUAGGGGCACUGUUUAUGUGUAAAUUAUUGCUAUUUGAAGCUAGUCACAGAAUUUGAUUUCAAUUAAAAUGAUCUGUCAUUUUCUUGGUCUUCAGUAAUGGUAGUUCAACUUCAGAGAGUCAGACCAGGAGGAGUGAGUCCAGAAAAAAUACUUGUUUCACUUUUCUGCUUCAUUCUGACCAGGUUCUUCAGGCAUCCUGAGGUCACAGUGAGCAUCCAAUCCACUACCAAGGGAUCUUUACCCUCACUUCGAAACUCCCGGUGUCUUUGACCAAGAUUAAAGAGAAAAUUGAGUUUUCUCAAGUCCUUAUUGUUUAAUUUCCUCAGCACCUCCAAAGACACCCGGAAAGAAAUUCGUAUGUCAAGCUGAAGUCCAUGUACUGUUCUCAGCGCACCUGUUCCAUAACACAAACCAGUCCUAACAAAGAACAAGCAUUUCCUGAUUACAUAGCUAUUGUAAACUUUCCAGGCAUUUCCAGUCUUGCUUACCCUUUCCUCAGGUGUAUGCAAAGUGCAAGAAUAUUGUGCUUCAACAAGAAAUGCCUCAAGCAUCCUUGACUUGCUUCAUAGGUGCAAUUCAAGGUGUUUGAACUUUUGGAGCUGUAUUUUGUUAAAAAGCUUAGGUUCGUAUAGGCUGAAUUCUUCAAGGUUCUGUAGUGUUUCUCUAUAAAAUUCGAUUAAAUUGUUCUGGAGUGUCACUAAUAAUAAACAGUGAGCAGUCAACCUAGAAGGGGACGCAUAGAGCUAACCAAGAGGAAAAUGUAUGCACGCAUGUUUCACUGAGCAUCACCUGAACCAGGGCUUUUCCGUGGGCCUCUCUGUCCUUUUGGGUUUCAGACUGCUAGGUACUUUCAGAAGAGAUCACAAGACGGAAGAUGGUCUUGUCCUCCACAGCGCUGUCAUUCGACUUCUCUUCAGAAAAGGUGGAAGCUGGAUUCUAGGCCCUCCUCAAACAUGUACACGUGUGUGUACUUGUGUGUGUGUGUGUCCAUGUACGUGUGCGUGCGUAUGGGCGAGCGUGGCAGGGGGUGUCAGGGUGGCAGCUCCUAAUUUGUGGGAGAAGGUUCUGCUCACCUCCGUGCUCCUGGGGAUGGCAGAUAGCCUCCAUCCCUUUUGCUGAAGUUUGAAGGGACAUGAAGGGACUCACAACAAAUACAUCUUUUUUCAGCUGUGUUAGAAGGAGCCUUGUUGUGUGACCACUGUCCCCUGGAAAAUGAAAACUGUUCUUUCACACCUCUGGGGUAAAGUAGGCUGCAGUCCAGCAGGCACCAACUUGUUCCUGAAGAUCAGUACACAAUAGGAAGUUUCUUAACUGUUUAUAAUGGGUCAUUCUUUGUGUUCCUUUUUUCAGUAUCGGUAACACAAUCUGUUAAUGAUGAUCAGUAAAUGCUUAUAAAACUAUAAAGGAAUAAUUUCUACACAGCUAUUUGUGUGACUCAGACACCGAUGACAAACGGGAUGUUUUACAUAUUUUAUUAGUAAUUAAAAUAUUCCUCAAAGACAUGACUCCACUUACAACUUGCGUAGCUUCAUCAAGAAGGAAAUAAAGCUUCUCUCUUUCCUCUUACUUGUUGAAUAGAUGGAAUAUCUACACACUAAGUAGGAAGUUAAAAUUACGUCACCAGAAGUAACAUCCUCUUAAAUACGGCUUUAUGUUCUUGUGGAGUAGAAGAAAUGAAAUAGAAGUCUUAAGAAUACGCUUGAAAAGAACUUUAAGGAAUAAAAGCACAUAGAAUUUGUAAAAAAGCUAGAAAAAUGAUACUUUAGAAACCCUGACCUUGAAUUAUAAAAUACAGUAGUGCUACACUUAAAGCAUGUAUUAGAACAACCCAUUAAAAUGUGUACUCUGUAUCUUGCACGUCAGUUUUUCUGUUUUCAUUGCUUCAUUAAGUUCAAGGCACAGUUUUUAUGGUUUUGUUGUGGGUUUUUUGUUUGUUUGGUUGGUUU